CCUGGCGGCCAUAGCGCCGUGGAACCACCUGAUCCCAUGCCGAACUCAGAAGUGAAACGCGGUAGCGCCGAUGGUAGUGUGGCAUUCGCCA
Molecule: ribosomal RNA, 91 nt
Filed under: Aeromonas veronii
Lineage: Bacteria; Pseudomonadati; Pseudomonadota; Gammaproteobacteria; Aeromonadales; Aeromonadaceae
Source: RNAcentral